AGCGGCAGACGGGCGAGUAACACGUAGAUGACGUACCCUCAGACGGGGAUACGGAUGGAAACAUGCGCUAAUACCGGAUGACUUACGAUGUCAGAAUGGUAAGGAAAGCUACGGGCUUGAGGAGCGGUCUGCGGCCAUCAGCUAUUGGUAGGGUAAAGGCCUACCAGGCGAAACGGGUAGGGGUGUGAGAGCACGCCCCCCACAAUGGGACUGAGACACGGCCAUACUCCUACGGAGCACACAGGAAUAUGCACAAUGGACGGAAGUCUGAUGCAGCGACGCCGCGUGAGUGAAGAAGGCCUUCGGGUUGUAAAACUCUUUUGAGGGGGAAGAGCGAGGACGGUACCCCUGGAAUAAGCGUCGGCUAACUACGUGCCAGCAGCCGCGGUAAGACGUAGGACGCGAGCGUUAUCCGGAUUUACUGGGCGUAAAGCGUCUGUAGGCGGAUGUGUAAGUUGGGCGUGAAAGCUCCGGGCUUAACCCGGAGAGGCCGUUCAAUACUGCAUAACUUGAGGGUGUCAGAGGGGAGCGGAAUUCCCGGUGUAGCGGUAAAAUGCGCAGAGAUCGGGAGGAACACCAGUGGCGGAGGCGGUUCCCUGGGGCACACCUGACGCUGAGAGACGAAAGCUAGGGGAGCGAACAGGAUUAGAGACCCUGGUAGUCCUAGCCCUAAACGAUGAAUGCUAGGUGUGGGAUCGAAUGGUUCCGUGCCGGAGCGAACGCGAUAAGCAUUCCGCCUGGGGAGUACGGCCGCAAGGUUAAAACUCAAACGAAUUGACGGGGCCCCGCACAAGCAGCGGAGCGUGUGGUUUAAUUCGAUGCUACACGAAGAACCUUACCUGGGUUUGACAUGUAGGUGGUAGUGAAUCGAAAGGUGAACGACCCUUCGGGGAGCCUACACAGGUGCUGCAUGGCUGUCGUCAGCUCGUGCCGUGAGGUGUCGGGUUAAGUCCCGUAACGAGCGCAACCCUUGCUCCUAGUUACAAGUGUCUAGGGGGACUGCCGGCGGAAAGCCGGAGGAAGGUGGGGAUGACGUCAAGUCAGCAUGGCCCUUAUAUCCAGGGCUACACACACGCUGCAAUGGUCGGUACAAAGGGCAGCGAAACCGCGAGGCGGAGCGAAUCCGAGAAAAGCCGAUCGUAGUUCGGAUAGCAGGCUGCAACCCGCCUGCUUGAAGCUGGAGUUGCUAGUAACCGCGCGUCAGCCAUAGCGCGGUGAUACGUUCCCGGGGCUUGUACACACCGCCCGUCACGUCAUGGGAG
This 1262-nucleotide ribosomal RNA is filed under the name uncultured organism. RNAcentral describes it as "bacterial SSU rRNA". It matches the Rfam family "Bacterial small subunit ribosomal RNA", at positions 94 to 1410 of the family's 1533-position model. The record is from RNAcentral.